RNAcentral lists this transfer RNA (76 nucleotides) under Mus musculus (house mouse). RNAcentral's name for it is "tRNA-Ser". The record is from RNAcentral. Lineage: Eukaryota; Metazoa; Chordata; Mammalia; Rodentia; Muridae.
GCUGGCAAAAUGGCUCAGUGGGUUAGAGCACUGACUACUCUUCCAAAGGUCCUGAGUUCUAAUCCCAGCGGUAGCU